UGGGGAAUAUUGGACAAUGGGGGCAACCCUGAUCCAGCGAUGCCGCGUGGGUGAAGAAGGCCUUCGGGUUGUAAAGCCCUUUAGGUUGGGACGAAGUGAUACUAGUGAAUAGCUAGUAUUGUUGACGGUACCGACAGAAUAAGCACCGGCAAACUCUGUGCCAGCAGCCGCGGUAAUACAGAGGGUGCGAGCGUUAAUCGGAGUUACUGGGCGUAAAGGGCGCGUAGGCGGUGAGAUGAGUGUGAUGUGAAAGCCCCGGGCUUAACCUGGGAAGUGCAUCGCAAACGAUCUGACUGGAGUAUAUGAGAGGGUGGCGGAAUUUCCGGUGUAGCGGUGAAAUGCGUAGAGAUCGGAAGGAACGUCAAUGGCGAAGGCAGCCACCUGGCAUAAUACUGACGCUGAGGCGCGAAAGCGUGGGGAGCGAACAGG
This 429-nucleotide ribosomal RNA is filed under the name uncultured bacterium. Its description in RNAcentral is "bacterial SSU rRNA". It matches the Rfam family "Bacterial small subunit ribosomal RNA", at positions 355 to 776 of the family's 1533-position model. The record is from RNAcentral.